Molecule: transfer RNA, 66 nt
Filed under: bovine gut metagenome
Rfam family: tRNA
About the family: Transfer RNA (tRNA) molecules are approximately 80 nucleotides in length. Their secondary structure includes four short double-helical elements and three loops (D, anti-codon, and T loops).
Source: RNAcentral
UGCUUAGCUCAGCUGGUUCAGAGCAUCUGCCUUACAAGCAGAGGGUCGGCGGUUCGAAUCCGUCAG